This 373-nucleotide ribosomal RNA is filed under the name uncultured bacterium. RNAcentral's name for it is "bacterial SSU rRNA". It matches the Rfam family "Bacterial small subunit ribosomal RNA", at positions 1020 to 1392 of the family's 1533-position model. The record is from RNAcentral.
UUCGGGACUGCGAGACAGGUGCUGCAUGGCUGUCUCAGCUCGUGUCGUGAGAUGUUGGGUUAAGUCCCGCAACGAGCGCAACCCUUGUCCUUAGUUGCCAUCAUUUAAUGGGGGGAACUCUAAGGAGACUGCCGGUGACAAACCGGAAGAAGGGGGGGAUGACCUCAAGUCAUCAUGCCCCUUACGGCCGGGGCUACACACGUACUACAAUGGUGGGGACAGAGGGUCGCGAAGCCGCGAGGAGGAGCCAAUCCCAAAAACCCCUUCCUACUCAUGAUCGUAUUCUGCACCUCUACUCCAUGAAGUCGGAAUCACUAAUAAUCGCACAUCAUCCUUGCUGGGGUAAAUACCUUCCCGGGUCUUGUACACACCG